UCCCUUAGAGUCUUUUUGAGGAGUCUUCUACAAUUACUAGUAACUUGUUUCAAGACUCGAGCAAGUGAGUAUGAGGAUGAGGAGAAUGUAUUCAUGAAUCUACUUUGUUAUCAUGAGAUCCUUUAUAUCAUGAACCAAAACUCUUGAAUUCAUAAUUCACAUUCAAGAGAGAGUUAAAAGUAAAGUUCAAGUAAGCCUUUGAGUUCAAUUGUGAAUCCUUUGAGAUCAACUAUCGAUUUGAA
Molecule: long non-coding RNA, 242 nt
Filed under: Solanum tuberosum (potato)
Lineage: Eukaryota; Viridiplantae; Streptophyta; Magnoliopsida; Solanales; Solanaceae
Description: long non-coding RNA (STUB_LNC005790)
Source: RNAcentral